UGGGGAAUAUUGCACAAUGGGCGCAAGCCUGAUGCAGCCAUGCCGCGUGUGUGAAGAAGGCCUUCGGGUUGUAAAGCACUUUCAGCGAGGAGGAAGGCGUUAAGGUUAAUAACCUUAGCGAUUGACGUUACUCGCAGAAGAAGCACCGGCUAACUCCGUGCCAGCAGCCGCGGUAAUACGGAGGGUGCAAGCGUUAAUCGGAAUUACUGGGCGUAAAGCGCACGCAGGCGGUUUGUUAAGUCAGAUGUGAAAUCCCCGAGCUUAACUUGGGAACUGCAUUUGAAACUGGCAAGCUAGAGUCUUGUAGAGGGGGGUAGAAUUCC
This 323-nucleotide ribosomal RNA is filed under the name uncultured bacterium. RNAcentral describes it as "partial 16S ribosomal RNA". It matches the Rfam family "Bacterial small subunit ribosomal RNA", at positions 355 to 670 of the family's 1533-position model. The record is from RNAcentral.